GAUGAACGCUGGCGGCGUGCCUAAUACAUGCAAGUCGAGCGAACGGACGAGAAGCUUGCUUUUCUGAUGUUAGCGGCGGACGGGUGAGUAACACGUGGAUAACCUACCUAUAAGACUGGGAUAACUUCGGGAAACCGGAGCUAAUACCGGAUAAUAUUUUGAACCGCAUGGUUCAAAAGUGAAAGACGGUCUUGCUGUCACUUAUAGAUGGAUCCGCGCUGCAUUAGCUAGUUGGUAAGGUAACGGCUUACCAAGGCAACGAUGCAUAGCCGACCUGAGAGGGUGAUCGCCACACUGGAACUGAGACACGGUCCAGACUCCUACGGGAGACAGCAGUAGGGAAUCUUCCGCAAUGGGCGAAAGCCUGACGGAGCAACGCCGCGUGAGUGAUGAAGGUCUUCGGAUCGUAAAACUCUGUUAUUAGGGAAGAACAUAUGUGUAAGUAACUGUGCACAUCUUGACGGUACCUAAUCAGAAAGCCACGGCUAACUACGUG
RNAcentral lists this ribosomal RNA (496 nucleotides) under uncultured bacterium. RNAcentral describes it as "partial 16S ribosomal RNA". It matches the Rfam family "Bacterial small subunit ribosomal RNA", at positions 28 to 507 of the family's 1533-position model. The record is from RNAcentral.